This is a long non-coding RNA of Pomacea canaliculata, 1378 nucleotides long. RefSeq lists it as uncharacterized. The record is from RefSeq and is a predicted model, not a curated record. Lineage: Eukaryota; Metazoa; Mollusca; Gastropoda; Architaenioglossa; Ampullariidae. The transcript is spliced from 4 exons.
UUCUACCUCCCACCGCCGCUCCUCCCCUCCCCCAUACACCCACUCAUCCUUUUCCGUCGUGACGCAUUCACCAAUGAAACUUCAUCUGUCUGACCACAUAAAGACCAUUGGUGCCUCCUGGUCAAACCACAGCUGAGGCUCUGAAUACGCAGGCCAACAGUGGACAGCAAUGAAGAAGAUUAAUCUACCAACUGUUCUGCUAACUGUGGUCAUGCUCUUUCAAGCGGAAGUGACGUCCAUGUUUACUCGAGAGCAGCGGCCUUCAAGUCUAAAAGUUACGAACGAAUGCCAUGGAAACGCUCAGGGCUUGGCGAGAAACUGAGUGUAGUAACCAAUGACUUUCAGACUGUUUGACAAAAGAGAAGAAAGAAAAUAUGACCUGUCAAGAUCACUGGUUGUCUUCUUAACAUCAGAUGUCAGGGACCAGGAAGCUUCUUUCAAUUCUGACGACAAUCUCUUGGGAAGUAUCAUACAUCUUUUUGCCAAACGUCGGUAGCAUGAUGAUUAGCGUUGGUUCAGCAACAGAAUGGGGCGCAGUCUAGAAACAGAAGUCGCCCACCUCAGGAUUAACUGUAAUUAGAAACAAGAGCAGACCUCAUCUUGGUCAGCAGCUGCGGCUACAAAGGACUUACUAUGACUAUAGGUACUGGCAGAAAUAAAACAAACCUGUGGAUGUGGAUCUAAUUCUGCUUCAUAGCUAUGGCCCCUCAAGAGUUAAAAAAAAAACAAAAACCAGCAUUCCCAUCAUAUCCCAGACGGUCUGUAUAAUGAACACAUGGUUUUGGCCAAUGAAAAAUGUACGAACACGAAGUAUUCUUUGCAGUCAUCAAACGUACAUCGGCUCUCAACAUCGUGCUUGUUACGAAAACCUAGUUACAUUAAAGUAACCUGGUUCCCGAUACUUGAGUGUCUUCAGUUUUAUUUUGUCUUUUGCCAGCCCUGCUUUUGUUGUGUACAUGUGACUGAACGAACAGUAAAGGCGCGCAGUAAAGGUGUGAGUGCGUAGAUAAAUGAGUGUGUUGCUUCUAUACAUUCACUGCCACACGAAAUAGUACAAUUUUGCAGAUUAGCCAAGCAAGAGAAGUAAGCCUGUCCUUCAAAUCCAAACAUAUGUCGAGUGUUUUCUCCCCUUUUAUGUUUUGCCAUUCCAGACUCUGGCACUCAGCUUGUCAGAAAUAUAGUAGUUUUAAACCCUUAUAUCUUUCUUUCUGUCUUCUACGUUCUCAAUACCUAGACUGGUCCGAUCAUUAAAACUAUGGCAGUGAAACAGUGUGGGCUCUAAUCAUAACGAUCUGCAGGAACAUUUAGCUCGCAAAUGAACGACCAAUACAUUACAAAUUGAUACCUAAUGGAUUUCGCGUAACGAUGACUCAGAUUG